GAUGAACGCUGACAGAAUGCUUAACACAUGCAAGUCGAUGGGGAAGUGGUGCUUGCACCAUGGUAACCAUGGCGGACGGGUGAGUAACGCGUAAGGAACUUGCCUGCGGGACUGGGAUAACAGCAGGAAACUGCUGAUAAUACCGGAUAAGGUCAUUAAGCUGCAUAGCUUAGUGAUGAAAGGAGACGCCUGCGGAGAGCCUUGCGUCCUAUUAGCUAGUUGGAGGGGUAACGGCCCACCAAGGCGAAGAUAGGUAGCCGGCCUGAGAGGGUGGACGGCCACAAGGGGACUGAGAUACGGCCCUUACUCCUACGGGAGGCAGCAGUGGGGAAUAUUGGACAAUGGGGGCAACCCUGAUCCAGCAAUUCUGUGUGCACGAAGACGGUUUUCGGAUUGUAAAGUGCUUUCAGCAGGGAAGAGGGAAGUGACGGUACCUGCAGAAGA
Molecule: ribosomal RNA, 444 nt
Filed under: Leptotrichia sp. oral taxon 215
Lineage: Bacteria; Fusobacteriati; Fusobacteriota; Fusobacteriia; Fusobacteriales; Leptotrichiaceae
Description: bacterial SSU rRNA
Rfam family: Bacterial small subunit ribosomal RNA
Source: RNAcentral